This 253-nucleotide ribosomal RNA is filed under the name uncultured bacterium. RNAcentral describes it as "partial 16S ribosomal RNA". It matches the Rfam family "Bacterial small subunit ribosomal RNA", at positions 524 to 776 of the family's 1533-position model. The record is from RNAcentral.
UACGUAGGGUGCGAGCGUUAAUCGGAAUUACUGGGCGUAAAGCGUGCGCAGGCGGUUUUGUAAGCCAGGUGUGAAAUCCCCGGGCUCAACCUGGGAAUGGCAUUUGGGACUGCAAGGCUGGAGUGCGGCAGAGGAGACUGGAAUUCCUGGUGUAGCAGUGAAAUGCGUAGAUAUCAAGCGGAACACCAGUGGCGAAGGCGAGUCCCUGGACAACUCCUGACACUGAGGCACGAAAGCUAGGGGAGCAAACAGG